AGUGAACGCUGGCGGUAGGCCUAACACAUGCAAGUCGAACGGCAGCACAGUAAGAGCUUGCUCUUACGGGUGGCGAGUGGCGGACGGGUGAGGAAUACAUCGGAAUCUACUUUUUCGUGGGGGAUAACGUAGGGAAACUUACGCUAAUACCGCAUACGACCUACGGGUGAAAGCAGGGGAUCUUCGGACCUUGCGCGAUUGAAUGAGCCGAUGUCGGAUUAGCUAGUUGGCGGGGUAAAGGCCCACCAAGGCGACGAUCCGUAGCUGGUCUGAGAGGAUGAUCAGCCACACUGGAACUGAGACACGGUCCAGACUCCUACGGGAGGCAGCAGUGGGGAAUAUUGGACAAUGGGCGCAAGCCUGAUCCAGCCAUACCGCGUGGGUGAAGAAGGCCUUCGGGUUGUAAAGCCCUUUUGUUGGGAAAGAAAAGCAGCAGGUUAAUACCCCGCUGUUCUGACGGUACCCAAAGAAUAAGUACCGGCUAACUUCG
RNAcentral lists this ribosomal RNA (490 nucleotides) under uncultured bacterium. RNAcentral describes it as "partial 16S ribosomal RNA". It matches the Rfam family "Bacterial small subunit ribosomal RNA", at positions 29 to 505 of the family's 1533-position model. The record is from RNAcentral.